RNAcentral lists this long non-coding RNA (1029 nucleotides) under Carica papaya (papaya). Its description in RNAcentral is "long non-coding RNA (CPAP_LNC008071)". Lineage: Eukaryota; Viridiplantae; Streptophyta; Magnoliopsida; Brassicales; Caricaceae. The record is from RNAcentral.
GCAUCAUAAGGAAAAAACAAAUGUCAGUGUCCUAUGAAAAAAUAUAUAUGUACUCAAUUGAUAACAAGAAAAAGGAUACUCGACCAGAUGACCAACACCAAAAUUUCACUCUAAAAAGAUCAUGCAGCUACGCUUCACUAAAUUCAAUGCAGAGAAAUUUGGCGAUGUGGGCACUGCAAAAACUCAGCUAGGAUGAGAGCAAUCUAUGCUAAAUAAAUAAGUUGAUAUGUGAAGACAUUUUUAUUGGCCGGAAAAGCACAAGCUCCCCUCGAGCUUGGACAGAGUUAUAAACCCCGCUCAAUACUUGCAUGAAUUACAGCUUCUGUAUGUGAUCCAAAGAGAGGAGAAUCGAUACCCAUGAAAUCAAGAUGUUCCAACCAUUGUUAGGAACGAAAUAGCACCUUGUCUCAUUUGUGAGUGCGUUUUCAAAUGGAACAUUUGAAUCUUGACACGUAAGUAUGUCAGUGUUAAAGUUCAAUAACUAUUAUUUCAAAAGAAAGAAAAAAGUUCAAGUUCAACAACUAAGGGAAUGCAACUUUUUCCAGCACUUAUACUACCAUUAGCCAGUUGUGCUAAGGAUUUAACAAGUCAUAACUAUGCUCCUGAUAUAGUUUUAUGCAUGUAACAAGAACUAAAUUAUUUGCAGGUCUAUCAGCGAAUCUCCUUACUCCCGGUUCCAAGAACCAAAACUUCCAAUCGACUUAACAAGUCAUAACUAUGCUCCUGAUAUAGUUUUAUGCAUGUAACAAGAACUAAAUUUAUUUGCAGGUCUAUCAGCGAAUCUCCUUACUCCCGGUUCCAAGAACCAAAACUUCCAAUCGACUUAUGGGCUACAGCAGAUAGUCUAGCUAAUGCCACAACCAAAAUUACUUUUAAAUUAACUAUUCAUUUUCAGCAAAUCCCACAGUUCCUUGUGAUAGCACAUGAACCUUAUCCACAAUAGGUCAAGGUUGAGUCUCAUAAAACAGACAAAUGAAGGAGCAACUCUAAUUGUAUGUGCGUGUCUAACAGAACAAGAGCCACACCUCA